This 465-nucleotide ribosomal RNA is filed under the name uncultured bacterium. Its description in RNAcentral is "partial 16S ribosomal RNA". It matches the Rfam family "Bacterial small subunit ribosomal RNA", at positions 28 to 507 of the family's 1533-position model. The record is from RNAcentral.
GACGAACGCUGGCGGCGUGCUUAACACAUGCAAGUCGAACGGAAAGGCCCCUUUGGGGGUCCUCGAGUGGCGAACGGGUGCGUAACACGUGAGUAACCUGCCCUUGACUUCGGGAUAACUUCAGGAAACUGGGGCUAAUACCGGAUAGGAAUCCUUGCUGCAUGGUGGGGGUUGGAAAGCUUCGGCGGCUUUGGAUGGACUCGCGGCUUAUCAGCUUGUUGGUGGGGUAGUGGCUUACCAAGGCUUUGACGGGUAGCCGGCCUGAGAGGGCGAGCGGCCACAUUGGGACUGAGAUACGGCCCAGACUCCGACGGGAGGCAGCAGUGGGGAAGAUUGCACAAUGGGCGGAAGCCGGAUGCAGCAACGCCGCGGGCUGGAUGACGGCCUUCGGGUUGUAAACCGCUUUCAGCAGGGGCGAAGCUUGUGGUGACGGUACCUGCAGAAGAAGCACCGGCUAACUACGUG